This 460-nucleotide ribosomal RNA is filed under the name uncultured bacterium. RNAcentral's name for it is "bacterial SSU rRNA". It matches the Rfam family "Bacterial small subunit ribosomal RNA", at positions 29 to 506 of the family's 1533-position model. The record is from RNAcentral.
ACGAACGCUGGCGGCGUGCUUAACACAUGCAAGUCGAACGGAAAGGCCCUUCGGGGUACUCGAGUGGCGAACGGGUGAGUAACACGUGGGCAACCUGCCCCUAGCUCUGGGAUAACUCCGGGAAACCGGUGCUAAUACCGGAUACACACUUUCUGAGGCAUCUCAGGUGGUGGAAAGUUUUUCGGCUAGGGAUGGGCCCGCGGCCUAUCAGCUUGUUGGUGGGGUAAUGGCCUACCAAGGCGACGACGGGUAGCCGGCCUGAGAGGGCGACCGGCCACACUGGGACUGAGACACGGCCCAGACUCCUACGGGAGGCAGCAGUGGGGAAUAUUGCGCAAUGGGCGAAAGCCUGACGCAGCGACGCCGCGUGAGGGAUGACGGCCUUCGGGUUGUAAACCUCUUUCAGCUCUGACGAAGCGCAAGUGACGGUAGGAGCAGAAGAAGCACCGGCCAACUACGU